Molecule: transfer RNA, 87 nt
Filed under: Deinococcus ruber
Lineage: Bacteria; Thermotogati; Deinococcota; Deinococci; Deinococcales; Deinococcaceae
Description: tRNA-Tyr
Rfam family: tRNA
About the family: Transfer RNA (tRNA) molecules are approximately 80 nucleotides in length. Their secondary structure includes four short double-helical elements and three loops (D, anti-codon, and T loops).
Source: RNAcentral
GGAUGGGCGGCGACGAUGGCGGGUCGCGCUGGACUGUAACCCCAGAGCCUCCGGGCACAGUGAGUUCGAAUCUCACACCAUCCACCA